Long non-coding RNA from Helianthus annuus (common sunflower), 1015 nucleotides. RefSeq lists it as uncharacterized. The record is from RefSeq and is a predicted model, not a curated record. The transcript is spliced from 2 exons. Lineage: Eukaryota; Viridiplantae; Streptophyta; Magnoliopsida; Asterales; Asteraceae.
ACUCUAUAAAUAAGGGGUAUUUCUCCAAAGAACACACAGACUUUAAGUCUGUCUCUCUCCCCUCUCUCGAUCUAUACAUAUACAAACAAGACAUACACACUUCAAACAAACACAGAGAACAUCAACUUUUCUACACACCCAAACCUCCUACCCUUCCCUCUCGUUCCCUCACCCUACUCUCAAGUAAUCGGCCACCACCAUCAUCGGUGGCGUGGUGGACGGCGUCAGACCUCUGUUUGAGCGAAAGAGAGAGAUCGGUGAUGAGAGAGAAACCCGAGAGAGUUAGAGUGAAAUCGGAGAGAAAGGAGAGCCACCGCUCACGGUGGCAGCGAGGCGGCGGACUAGCGGGACGGGAACAGAGAGAGGAGCAGAGAUGGAGUAAUAGAGAGAGAGAGAGACGCGAAGAAGAGAGGGCCGACACCCUCUUACCGGCGACCGCCGCCGUGCACGACGGAGUGAUGGCGGUGGGUGUCUUGGUUCGAUGAAUUCACGAUGAUAAAGACGGUGGUGGAUCUGGAUGGCUGAACGACACCCCCCCCCCAUUCGUUUCUCUGGAGCCGAUGAUGAUGAAGACGAUGGUAGUGUCCGUCUCCGAUGAAGAUAAUGAAGAUGAUAACCUGUUGAUGACGGACUUGGGUUCGGUUCAGUUUUGGUUCGAUUCAGUCUCGGCUUGGGUCACACGGUUCGUACUCGGUUCAGUUUUCGCGGCACGGUUCGACAGUUGGGAGUGGUGGUGUUAGCGUUAUGGUUCGGGUUCUGGUUCGAAAGUCUGAGCCGGUUAAACGUGGUCAAACAGUCAACAGGUCAGAUUCGGGUUCAGUCAACUGGUCAACACGGGUCAAACCGCAGUCAACAGCAGUCAACUGUCAGGUCAAACACGGUUAACUUAAGACCCAGUAAAGUUCAAACAACACGAAAUUUAUCUCGUUAGUUUAAUUAUAGUUCUAGAUUUCAUAUUAUACGCGACCGAGCUCGAAACCGAAUACAUUUAGUGAAUUACUUACGAUUUUGCAUA